This 674-nucleotide ribosomal RNA is filed under the name Arthrobacter sp. RNAcentral describes it as "bacterial SSU rRNA". It matches the Rfam family "Bacterial small subunit ribosomal RNA", at positions 332 to 1016 of the family's 1533-position model. The record is from RNAcentral. Lineage: Bacteria; Bacillati; Actinomycetota; Actinomycetes; Micrococcales; Micrococcaceae.
CCUACUCAUACGGGAGGCAGCAGUGGGGAAUAUUGCACAAUGGGCGCAAGCCUGAUGCAGCGACGCCGCGUGAGGGAUGACGGCCUUCGGGUUGUAAACCUCUUUCAGUAGGGAAGAAGCGUAAGUGACGGUACCUGCAGAAGAAGCGCCGGCUAACUACGUGCCAGCAGCCGCGGUAAUACGUAGGGCGCAAGCGUUAUCCGGAAUUAUUGGGCGUAAAGAGCUCGUAGGCGGUUUGUCGCGUCUGCCGUGAAAGUCCGGGGCUCAACUCCGGAUCUGCGGUGGGUACGGGCAGACUAGAGUGAUGUAGGGGAGACUGGAAUUCCUGGUGUAGCGGUGAAAUGCGCAGAUAUCAGGAGGAACACCGAUGGCGAAGGCAGGUCUCUGGGCAUUAACUGACGCUGAGGAGCGAAAGCAUGGGGAGCGAACAGGAUUAGAUACCCUGGUAGUCCAUGCCGUAAACGUUGGGCACUAGGUGUGGGGGACAUUCCACGUUUUCCGCGCCGUAGCUAACGCAUUAAGUGCCCCGCCUGGGGAGUACGGCCGCAAGGCUAAAACUCAAGGGAAUUGACGGGGGCCCGCACAAGCGGCGGAGCAUGCGGAAUGUUCGAUGCAACGCGAAGAACCUUACCAAGGCUUGACAUGAACCGGAAAGAUCUGAAACCACGCCCCCC